AACGAACGCUGGCAGAAUGCUUAACACAUGCAAGUCGAACGUGAAAGUACUUCGGUAUGAGUAAAGUGGCGCACGGGUGAGUAACACGUAGGUGACCUGCCGUUUAGAGGGGGAUAACCAGAAGAAAUUUUGGCUAAUACCGCAUACGAAGAACGAACUUAAAUAUAGUUCUUGAAAGGAUGCCUCUGCAUAUGCAUCUACUAAACGAUGGGCCUGCGGUACAUUAGCUAGUUGGUGGGGUAAUGUCCUACCAAGGCGACGAUGUAUAACGGAUCUGAGAGGAUGAUGCGUCACACUGGAACUGAGACACGGUCCAGACUCCUACGGGAGGCAGCAGUGGGGAAUAUUGGACAAUGGGCGAAAGCCUGAUCCAGCAAUUCUGCGUGAGUGAGGAAGGACUUCGGUCUGUAAAGCUUUGUUAAUGUGGAAAAAUGGUUAGCGGUCUAAUAGGCCGUUGAUUUGAUGGUACACAUAGAGGAAGCACCGGCUAACUUCGUGCCAGCAGCCGCGGUAA
Molecule: ribosomal RNA, 514 nt
Filed under: uncultured bacterium
Lineage: Bacteria
Description: partial 16S ribosomal RNA
Rfam family: Bacterial small subunit ribosomal RNA
Source: RNAcentral